RNAcentral lists this unclassified non-coding RNA (219 nucleotides) under Archaeospora sp. RNAcentral describes it as "partial contains 5.8S ribosomal RNA and internal transcribed spacer 2". Lineage: Eukaryota; Fungi; Glomeromycota; Glomeromycetes; Archaeosporales; Archaeosporaceae. The record is from RNAcentral.
GUGAAUCAUCAAAUCUUUGAACGCAUAUUCCACCAUCUGGUAUUCCGGAGAGUAUGCCUAUUUGAGGUUCAUUUGAAAUAAUAUAAAUUUCGAGAUUUUCUUGAAAUCAAAAAUGGGUCGAUCCAGCUUUCGUUUGUCAGUCGCCUAAAAUGCAAGACAAGCUCAUUUCUUGGGUUACGAGAUACUUUCAGUUAUCUCUUUACUUCCAAAUAAAUCAUC